AAGUCGUAACAAGGUUUCCGUAGGUGAACCUGCGGAAGGAUCAUUACCGAGUGCUACGAGCGAGAGCUCGUUACCUCCCACCCUUUGUGAACAUACCUCUGUUGCUUUGGCGGCUCUCGCCGCGAGGGGAGGCCCUGAGAAGGGCCCGCCCCCCUCGCGCGCCCUCCGCCAGAGGACCUUCAAACUCCAGUCAGUAAACGUCGACGUCUGAUACACAAGUUAAUAAACUAAAACUUUCAACAACGGAUCUCUUGGUUCUG
This 260-nucleotide unclassified non-coding RNA is filed under the name Diplodia corticola. Its description in RNAcentral is "partial internal transcribed spacer region". The stretch from base 1 to 46 matches the Rfam family "Eukaryotic small subunit ribosomal RNA", at positions 1786 to 1831 of the family's 1831-position model. The record is from RNAcentral. Lineage: Eukaryota; Fungi; Ascomycota; Dothideomycetes; Botryosphaeriales; Botryosphaeriaceae.